UUUGCAAAGCUUCCCACAGCAGGAGUGCUAAAGAGAAAUGAGGUUGUUUAUACCAUGCUAAGUUCUGGAGUGGAAGACAAGGAGCCUGCUGCUGAUCUGCAGAGUAAUUGCCUUGGAGGGAAAGGACACAGCUCUGAGCAGCAUGCUUCCCAAAACUGACAGGAAUGCCAGUUGCAGACAAAUGGAAGAAAGCUUUGCUUUGGCUAAUGAAUGUUAUAAUGUACAUUGACUGAGUCUGAAAGAGGAGAAAUAGAAAGAGAUAUGACUGGUGGACAGAGAUAAACAUCAAGUGCAAAAAUAGAGGAUCCUUAAAUAAAAUACAUUGACUACCGGUGUCAACUAACUUUUCUAA
This is a long non-coding RNA of Oxyura jamaicensis (ruddy duck), 352 nucleotides long. RefSeq lists it as uncharacterized. Lineage: Eukaryota; Metazoa; Chordata; Aves; Anseriformes; Anatidae. The transcript has 3 exons. The record is from RefSeq and is a predicted model, not a curated record.